RNAcentral lists this ribosomal RNA (375 nucleotides) under uncultured bacterium. RNAcentral describes it as "bacterial SSU rRNA". It matches the Rfam family "Bacterial small subunit ribosomal RNA", at positions 114 to 507 of the family's 1533-position model. The record is from RNAcentral.
CGCGUGGAUAACCUGCCGUAUGCAGGGGGAUAACAGUUGGAAACGACUGCUAAUACCGCAUAAGCGCACAAUACCGCAUGGUACAGUGUGAAAAGAUUUAUCGGCAUACGAUGGAUCCGCGUCCGAUUAGCCAGUUGGCGGGGUAACGGCCCACCAAAGCGACGAUCGGUAGCCGGCCUGAGAGGGCGGACGGCCACAUUGGGACUGAGACACGGCCCAAACUCCUACGGGAGGCAGCAGUGGGGAAUAUUGCACAAUGGGGGAAACCCUGAUGCAGCGACGCCGCGUGAGUGAAGAAGUAUUUCGGUAUGUAAAGCUCUAUCAGCAGGGAAGAAAAUGACGGUACCUGACUAAGAAGCCCCGGCUAACUACGUG